This 268-nucleotide long non-coding RNA is filed under the name Gallus gallus (chicken). RNAcentral's name for it is "long non-coding RNA NONGGAT011911". Lineage: Eukaryota; Metazoa; Chordata; Aves; Galliformes; Phasianidae. The record is from RNAcentral.
AAUGACUUUCCUGUUUUGUACAUACAUCAUUACCAGUGCCUAACAGAGGGAUGCUCCAGCCAUCUGAGCGUCCUCAUGGCCCUCCUCUGGACUGACUACGACAGGCCCAUGUCCCUCUCAUGCUGAAUGCACUACAUCAGAACCCAAAAAUAAGUGCAGAUUUAGAGAAUCCUGGAAUUAUCAGCGGAGUCCAAAGCCAGCAUUUGUUACAAUCAAUUCAGAGGAGCCAGAGAGCUAUAGUUUGCACAAGAUACGGAAAUACAGACGU